CAGCACCUCAAGUGGUCAGGAUGAUUAUUGGGCCUAAAGCAUCCGUAGCCGGCGCUGUAAGUUUUCGGUUAAAUCUGUACGCUCAACGUACAGGCUGCCGGGAAUACUGCAGCGCUAGGGAGUGGGAGAGGUAGACGGUACUCGGUAGGAAGGUGUAAAAUCCUUUGAUCUAUUGAUGACCACCUGUGGCGAAGGCGGUCUACCAGAACACGUCCGACGGUGAGGGAUGAAAGCUGGGGGAGCAAACCGGAUUAGAUACCCGAGUAGUCC
Molecule: ribosomal RNA, 270 nt
Filed under: uncultured archaeon
Lineage: Archaea
Description: partial 16S ribosomal RNA
Rfam family: Archaeal small subunit ribosomal RNA
Source: RNAcentral